UGAAUUUCGGGUUCUUUUUUUAUAAAAAAAAGUGCCCUUUUCAGCACAUCACAGUAAAUGUUAUUCAGCCUAUAUUAUUUAAAACUCACCAGCGGCUCUAGGAGUUGUUCUGUACUCGCAUUGUUGUUGUUGUUCUCGUCUUGAAUAAUGCUUUGACGAGUAUAAAAACGGAAUUUCUCAAAAAAAUAUAAAAGAUAUUAUUAAUAUAAAUUUUUAAAAAAAGGAACACUUAUGGGGUCGUUGAGGGUUGGAUAAACGAGCCGCUUGAGCCGUUGCAGUUGGCGGGAAUGAACUCUGAAUGAAUUUAUAAAUUUAUGAAUUGACACUGAAUUUAGUGAUCAUAUUAUACAUCCUAUAUUGAAUCUUAAUACUCAUAUUAAGUUAUAUUACAUAGUAUAUUAUUAAAAACAUUUUUCUCCUUCUGCACACUACAUAUGCAGAAGAAGAUCUGCAGUCCGGAGACUUACUUAAUAUUAGCUUAUUGUAGUUUAAAUUCAGCUAAAUCCAGAUGAGGGAUGAAGGAAGUCCAACACUGAUGGAGUCAGGAUAAGCUUUCAUCAAUUAGACCAUGAUCGCUGGCUAUAAACCAACUCAAUAUCCAGCAUACAGCCUAGAAGUAUGCUAGAUGAAAGGGCGUCCACCACUAAUGGAACCGGGAUGAUCACAGCAUAGAUCUGUAUGCAUGAUGAGAGGGGCCCAUCACAGUUGGAGCCGGUGCCUAAAGCUGUAUGCAGGCUGCAUGAAGUUUAACAUCAGCGGAGCCGGGAGGAUCCUACAACAAUGAGACCCUAUGUGGGAUAAAUUAAUGUCUACUCAUAUUAAGUUGUUCGGUCAAGUCUGAGAAAGUGUUUAAACUAUAUAAUCAAAAUAUCUACUCAUUCUAUUAAUUCUAGAUGCAUGCCAAGAUCUUCUGGACGCUGAAAUGCAUACAUAGAUGAGGGGUCCCCACAUAAAACAGGGUGGGCGUCAAAACCUUAACGACCAUAACCCGGCUUUGACCCUCCACCCAGAACCUCCGUGCCCAGCAGCCCAGCCUCAAGUGUCCAACAUAAUUAAGCACAGUGUGACCGUGAGCUGGACGCCUCCAGCCCUACGAUGGAGGAGCUCCAGUUCUGGGCUGCGUCCUGGAGAAGAGGAAGAAAGGCAGCACCAUGUGGACUUGCUCACAGACACGUCUUACUCAGUGGGAGGACUGGUGAGUGAGGUGGAGUACGAGUUCCGAGUCACCAGCGUGAACAGGGCUGGAGCAGGAAGCCCCAGCAGCGUCGCUAACCCAGCGCUGGCCAAAGACCCCCCCCACAGGAGUUGUUUACCCCCUCACCGUGGGGGGCUUCGGAAGAAGAAAAGGUACCACUUCCACGUCCGGGCUGUGAGUGAAGGCGGGCUGGGGGAGCCCACUUAGCUGCUGUAGGGGGCGCUGGCAAUGCCCCCACCUGGUAACAUAAGAAUGGCUCCCAGGUUUUACCUGCGGUGAAAGCUGAGGCCCCAAAUGGUGGUUUGAGCUGGGUUCUCCCAGAUCUCCCCUGGCCGCCAGAGAACCUGAGCACUGACGAUGUGAUCCUCAAACGGGACACCCCCCCUUCCUAAUGUGUCUUCAGCAGCAAGUACACCAUCCUGGUUCUCAUGGGGCGCAAGCGCUGACCCACGGUGGUCCACUCUGACCUCGGGUGCUGUCUCUGUGGCUGCUGCAGCUCUGCCUGGGGGGCUCUGUGUGAGCGGCUUGGGUGGCAACACCUGCCCUCCUGGAACUGAAGCUGGUUGGUUCAGCGUAACACAUGCUGCUUGUUGAACUGCUGGACAGAACAACAAAAAAAGUAUACCAUUACUGGGCUGCUUCCUGGGAGGAGGUACUACUUCAGGGUUCACUAUUGGGGACAGUGAAUUGUUGGACACAAAGGAAACUUUGGUCAUAGCCAAGGAAAAAGACUGCAUCAACACCUUCAGUUGGAGAAGGCACCGCGCCAGCUCAAGCCCACGUUCCUGCUGCCACUGAAGGACCACGCUGUUCGCAGGGGCCACGGCUGCACCAUGACGGCAUGCCUACAGUGUGCACCCAGGUCAUUGGGUGCCUGGUUGACAUGUAGCUUUAUACUCUACAUGUCCUGUUUGGCUGGUUUUAACUGUAGCAUGCCAGAAAACAAUAAAU
Molecule: long non-coding RNA, 2146 nt
Organism: Betta splendens (Siamese fighting fish)
Lineage: Eukaryota; Metazoa; Chordata; Actinopteri; Anabantiformes; Osphronemidae
Exons: 5
Source: RefSeq, a predicted model, not a curated record